Molecule: long non-coding RNA, 337 nt
Organism: Ornithodoros turicata
Lineage: Eukaryota; Metazoa; Arthropoda; Arachnida; Ixodida; Argasidae
Exons: 3
Source: RefSeq, a predicted model, not a curated record
GAAUGGCUCUUACUAUGAGAGAGAGAACUGCAUCCUUAAUAAGACUUCCGGUUCCUGUCAGCAAGCAGACGUACCCAUAUCUGAUGGAUGCCAGAAGGUUUUUCAAAGAAUUUGAAAGAAGAUACAAUCAGGAUCCUCUCGAGGGGACAGGCACUGCUCUGCAUCAAAUCCGUGAACUUGUGAUCCAGCGUAAAAUAAAUUGUACAGACGACCUCAGAGAGAGUCUAAUUGCUGAUCAAGACAUGGAAGGCAUUGGCGAGACACGUAGAAAACACAUCCUAGAUGUUCACGCCCUUAAGUUCCUCAGCACCUGUGUAAAGGAAAGUGAGGCCAUCGA